GAAAUAAGAUAUUCAAAAAAUAACUUCUAAUUAUAUUUUUAAGCGUUGAAAUACGUUUUUAUUUCU
This 66-nucleotide transfer RNA is filed under the name Crepidodera sp. BMNH 846615. Its description in RNAcentral is "tRNA-Ser". The record is from RNAcentral. Lineage: Eukaryota; Metazoa; Arthropoda; Insecta; Coleoptera; Chrysomelidae.